This 77-nucleotide transfer RNA is filed under the name Deltaproteobacteria bacterium. RNAcentral describes it as "tRNA-Ile". It matches the Rfam family "tRNA". From Rfam's summary of the family: Transfer RNA (tRNA) molecules are approximately 80 nucleotides in length. The record is from RNAcentral. RNAcentral also lists the same sequence under 2 other names. Lineage: Bacteria; Pseudomonadati; Myxococcota; Myxococcia.
GGGCCUGUGGCUCAGGUGGUUAGAGCGCACCCCUGAUAAGGGUGAGGUCACAGGUUCAAGUCCUGUCAGGCCCACCA